GAUGAACGCUGGCGGCGUGCCUAAUACAUGCAAGUCGAGCGAACGGACGAGAAGCUUGCUUCUCUGAUGUUAGCGGCGGACGGGUGAGUAACACGUGGAUAACCUACCUAUAAGACUGGGAUAACUUCGGGAAACCGGAGCUAAUACCGGAUAAUAUUUUGAACCGCAUGGUUCAAAAGUGAAAGACGGUCUUGCUGUCACUUAUAGAUGGAUCCGCGCUGCAUUAGCUAGUUGGUAAGGUAACGGCUUACCAAGGCAACGAUGCAUAGCCGACCUGAGAGGGUGAUCGGCCACACUGGAACUGAGACACGGUCCAGACUCCUACGGGAGGCAGCAGUAGGGAAUCUUCCGCAAUGGGCGAAAGCCUGACGGAGCAACGCCGCGUGAGUGAUGAAGGUCUUCGGAUCGUAAAACUCUGUUAUUAGGGAAGAACAUAUGUGUAGGUAACUGUGCACAUCUUGACGGUACCUAAUCAGAAAGCCACGGCUAACUACGUGCCAGCAGCCGCGGUAAUACGUAGGUGGCAAGCGUUAUCCGGAAUUAUUGGGCGUAAAGCGCGCGUAGGCGGUUUUUUAAGUCUGAUGUGAAAGCCCACGGCUCAACCGUGGAGGGUCAUUGGAAACUGGAAAACUUGAGUGCAGAAGAGGAAAGUGGAAUUCCAUGUGUAGCGGUGAAAUGCGCAGAGAUAUGGAGGAACACCAGUGGCGAAGGCGACUUUCUGGUCUGUAACUGACGCUGAUGUGCGAAAGCGUGGGGAUCAAACAGGAUUAGAUACCCUGGUAGUCCACGCCGUAAACGAUGAGUGCUAAGUGUUAGGGGGUUUCCGCCCCUUAGUGCUGCAGCUAACGCAUUAAGCACUCCGCCUGGGGAGUACGACCGCAAGGCUGAAACUCAAAGGAAUUGACGGGGACCCGCACAAGCGGUGGAGCAUGUGGUUUAAUUCGAAGCAACGCGAAGAACCUUACCAAAUCUUGACAUCCUUUGACAACUCUAGAGAUAGAGCCUUCCCCUUCGGGGGACAAAGUGACAGGUGGUGCAUGGUUGUCGUCAGCUCGUGUCGUGAGAUGUUGGGUUAAGUCCCGCAACGAGCGCAACCCUUAAGCUUAGUUGCCAUCAUUAAGUUGGGCACUCUAAGUUGACUGCCGGUGACAAACCGGAGGAAGGUGGGGAUGACGUCAAAUCAUCAUGCCCCUUAUGAUUUGGGCUACACACGUGCUACAAUGGACAAUACAAAGGGCAGCGAAACCGCGAGGUCAAGCAAAUCCCAUAAAGUUGUUCUCAGUUCGGAUUGUAGUCUGCAACUCGACUACAUGAAGCUGGAAUCGCUAGUAAUCGUAGAUCAGCACGCUACGGUGAAUACGUUCCCGGGUCU
RNAcentral lists this ribosomal RNA (1372 nucleotides) under uncultured bacterium. RNAcentral's name for it is "bacterial SSU rRNA". It matches the Rfam family "Bacterial small subunit ribosomal RNA", at positions 28 to 1381 of the family's 1533-position model. The record is from RNAcentral.